RNAcentral lists this long non-coding RNA (6654 nucleotides) under Marmota monax (woodchuck). Lineage: Eukaryota; Metazoa; Chordata; Mammalia; Rodentia; Sciuridae. The record is from RNAcentral.
GCAACUUAGGGAAACCUUGUAUAAAAUUAAAAAAUUGAAAAAUAAAAAGCUCAGUGGUUAAGCAACCUUGGGUUCAAUCCCCAGUACCCCCCCCCAAAAAAAAAAAAGAAAAGAAAAGAAAAAAAAUUAGCACAUAGGAAACACUAUAGAAGUUAUAUUUCUACACUCCACGAUUUUAUUUCUGCCUACAUUUUAUUUAGGUGGAAUUGCCCUGAUCUUCAGCCUUCAAUUUUUCUUUCUAGGCCUCCCAAACCAUUUACACAAAUUAUUUCUGUUAAAUUUCUUUAGAGGUAAUUGCUGCAUCAUGUAUUAGUCAUACCAUUCGAUUUUUGGUCACUAAAGCUCAUUAAAUUUAUAUUUUUAAGGAAUUUCUAUGAACACUUCUGGGAUUAUUUUAGUCGUGUCUUUUAUAAAUCGAAUCAGUAUUUUCCCCUAAGUUGUAAUACCUUAACUUGACUAUAGUAUGGACAUCUUAUACUUAUGACAUAAUUCACUUCUGAUUUUGAGAUGUUUCUGCAGUCUCACUCUUGUCAGCUUGUAUUUGACCACAUACAAAAGUUUACUAUCAUCUACCUCAUUAGAGGGUCUCCUGUGCAUCUCUUUUCUGUAUUUUUUAUUAAAAUAAGGGAUCUUAUUGUUUUUAAUUGUCCACAUUGAAACUGUCCAUACAACUCACUGUGAAGUCUGGUAUUGUGAAAGGAAUGUAGCCUUGAAAUAAGAUGGACUGAGGUUUAAAUCCUAGUUUUACAUCUAACUAGCUCUAUAACUUUGAGUAAAUUAUUAACCUUCAAGUCAGAUUCCUCAUCACUGAAAGAUAAGUAAUAAUUCUUUUUAGGUUGGCUUUAAGAAAUAAUGCAUGGAAAUAGUUAAAUUACCAGUUUAAGUAAUUCAGUUAACUAUUGAUUCUAAAUUACUUGGUACUGACCUGGAAGAAAGCCCAAACUCACUGUUGUCACUGCUCCUACUCCAGCUUUCCUGCUCUUAAUCCUGUUACUCCUGUGAGUACUGCCACUUCCUGAUGGCAGGGGAUCCUAGAAUCUAUAGAAUCUUAUCGUCACUGAGUUUCAGUGGCAGUACAUUGACAUUGUGGUUAUCUGUAAUUUUGACUCACACAGUACUUUCCUCCAGACUGCUUGGUGGAUGACAUCUCAUCACAGUGCUUUAAUUGAAUCUUGUGUACAAAUUUUCUAAUGUAGAAUUGAGAAUAAUUCUAGCUUUUUCUGUCUAAAGACUGGGAAACAACACUGCCUUUUUGAAAACUGGUACAGAAUCCUAUUUAGAAGGAAAUCAUGCUUUUUUAACUUACAGAAUCCUUUUUUUGAAGAAAAAUUUAUUAUUACCAAGUAUUUAUGUCCAUAAAUCUUGGCUGUUAAUUUUGUAAGAGUGUAUAGUUCUUCUAGUUAGCAGUAGUCACAUAGCUAUUUCUUUUGUAGAACUUUGAAAUGAUUUUUCAACAAUGCCUCUCUUGAAUGUUAGAGAUAUUAUUGAACUUAGUCAUGAAAUUGCUCUUUUCUGUUUCCCUAAUCUCCAUUUUCCCUCUUUUCCAGUGUACCUACCUGUGUAGAUCAGUUGUAACAUAGAAUAGAAGUAAAGUUUUGUAAGAUACGUUUUCUUGACAAAAAGUGAGAAUAAAAGGGUAAUUCCCCUCUGGACCAUUUUUAGAGUGUAAGAGCCUGUGGUAAAUGCACAAUAACUGAAAUUUGGAAAAUUAGGCUACUUAAUGAGUUAUCUUUCUUAUUGAUUGAAUCAGAUAUCCUAAAAAGCACACUUUGAAGUGGUUUUAAAAAUUAAUUUAGUUCUUCAAGUGACUUCCAAGUUUGUCUAAGCAAAAUGCAGUGUAUUGACUAAAGGUAAAAUAUCAACCCUAGCACUUUCUCACCAACUUUGUGGUCAAGUUGCCUCAGUUCAUCUGUGAAAUGAAGUUGAUAAUAAUCUUUGAAGAUUUAAGAGAUGCACAGUGUGCUUUAAAGAUUAAAUUUGUAUAUACACUUUAUUAAAUUUCCUCUAAUUUAAAUGUACUAAGAAGAAAUAGAAAUAGAAUUCUGACUUUCCUUAAAGCUAAAGAAUCGCAAGAGAAAUAUUGGGUUUCAUCCUUAGCACGUUACUCUUUUCAUAGUAUAAUAUAGAUAAAUCUUUUCACAAGUCAUUACACUGGACACUGAUAUCCUGCCUUCAAUGUGCAAGACUCUGUGUCAGGUGUUGGAAAUGAACACAUGAAUAAAAGACAUGAUUGAUGUCAUUCACCAUGGUAAUUAUAGAAUAGGAGAAUCAAAAAUGUAGACAUGAAGUUCAUGCUGAAUUCAUAUCUUCACAGGGCCACAUAGCCAGCUGAUUUCAUAAUCAUUUAAACCAUUAUAAUUAUAUAUAUUGAAUAGCUAUAAUUUUUGUGAAAUACUAUCCCAGAAGGAAUCAGAACCUGUUCUUAAAAGUGAAAAUAUCAUUUUAUUAUACCACUCGCAACUAAACUGUUAAGUCAUUAAUUGUUUUUCAUAUAUGCAAGCAAUAAGUAAACUCUUCUAGGGGUAGAAUGACAAUGUUUUUCUCUAAGUCUUACAUUUUAAACUAUAUCAAAAUUUCUGUUAAAAAUAUUUACUCACGUUGAGUCUAUGAACAUCAAAGAAUAAGGGCUUACACCAUUGUUUUUCUUAAUUUCUGAACUUGGAAGAAUCAUUGUUUAACCCAAGUUAUAGAAUCUUAAGUGUUCAAAAUGGUCAAAAUGUCUUCAUAUAUUUAAGUUAGAAGAAGGAAGAGGAGAAGGAGGAAAAACCAAACACCAAACCACUCUGAUCUAUGAGUUUGGGCAUCUUUCUUUAACUUGAAAUGUGACUGGGGUUGGAGGUAUGAGAGAUUCUUUAACCUAGAUUCUCUCACAGUCAUUAAUAAAUCAAAUUUUUGGGAACUGGAAGAUAGUUUUUUCUUUUCAAGGUGGAUAUAACACAUUUGUUCCUCAUAUGAAGUUGCUAGUCAGUAGAUAGGAGCUGUGCAUGAAGAUGUGGUGGUUUUGUGGCCAGGCGUGGUGACAUAUUUAAUGCCUGUAAUCCCAGUGCCUGGGAAGGCUGAGACAGGAGGAUCAAGAGUUCAAAGUCUGUCUCAGCAAUAUAGCGAGGCCCUAAGCAACUUAGCAAGACCCUGGGGAUGUGGCUCAUGGUUAAGUGCCACUGGGUUCACUCUCUGAUAUAAAAUAAUACUACUAAUAACAGUGGUUCCUGGCAGUUGGGACUAAUGCCUUUGAUAACUGAUUAGCGUGAAAGAAUGGGAGAAACAGUGAGAUGCAAAGAUAAAUGACACUGUUGUGUACUUCAUCAUUUAGAACAAACCAUACCAGCUUUGGCUAGUGAUUCUGUAGUUACUGCCAUUUAAAAAAAUUUUUUUGGUCUCCUGGUCUUAAGGGUAGUUUAUAGAUUAUAAAUGAAAUGUCUAGGGUAUAAUUCAGUUUUGCCAACAAAACCACAUAACACAAUAGAUUUCUACUCUUUCAUUAAUUCUGCCUACAUCGGUGGUCUUUUUUUUUUCUUGACAUUUUCACAUGCAGAUAUUUUGUUUUCUUUGUUUGCUUGUCUGUCUUUAUCUAGUUCUGUCUUCUAUCUAGAAUGAUUUUUCUGCUUUCUUCCCUAACUUUAGAUGAUAGCUCAAAACCAGGUGUUCAGAAAUAGAUCAUUUCAUACUAGAACAAAUAAGGCUGAUCCCAGUCCAAAAAUCAAAAGAAGUAUUGAAUAUAUUGUGUUUAAGAGUAGUAUGGAAGCUUGACAGAAGAAUCAAAACAGUGGAGAUAAUUUAGGGAGUAAAAGUGGCCUGUGUUGUGCACUCUCAAGCAAGUCUUGAGCAGGAAGAUUGGAAAUAAUAAUAGGUAACAUUUAUUGAUCACAUACAAUGUGCCCUAUAGUCUUCCAAGUAUUUGAUGUUCAUUUACUCAUUUAAUUCACGCCGAUUUCUGAGAUAAUGCUAUUAUUGGCCUGAGUUUAUGGAUGAAUGAUUAUUUCCCUCCUUACAGCUCAUCUCCCCAUAUUGUGGUAUGUUUAUAGUGUGAAUGAAGCCUCAAAAGAACAUAACUAGUGUCAUUGAAUCAGAAUAUUCCUUUUAUAUGUAGCCUUAUGUUGGUCAUGUGACCUGCAGAAAAAUACAGGAAACCAUUAAUUUCAUUUAGGACUUUACAGAAAAGGGAUUAUUAUUUAAAAACAAAUCUAUUUAAACAGGUUUCUAUAGAGAAGAAAACUUACAUACUUUCAAUUUUAUUUGCUAAUGAUGUUGAAAUUGAUCACCAGUCUUUCUGUUCUCUUUGCAUUGAACUCAGAUGUCCUAAAUACUACACUACAUUUUUCUAUUAAAAAAGUACAUUUAUAGGUGAAAAGUGUAAUUACUUAAAGGCAGGUCGUUAGCUCAGAACUUUGAGCUUAGCAAAUUUGACUGUCUUCUCUAAAGCAGUUGAAUAUCUCAAAUGAUGAUUAUUUCAGCAAGUAUCUUUAAUGAAUAAGAAUUACAGGAAUGAAAAUUUUUUUCUUUCCUGAAAUGUUAAUAAUAUAUCAGUAGUUAUGUUAGAACUUAUUAACCUUAGAGUAUGCGUCUCUAGUUAUAAAAUUUUAGUUAUAAAUUUAUGAUGAUGAAAUUUAUAAAGUACAUUUCUAAUUGAUAUUAGAGUUACUUUUCUAAAUGCUUUUACUGGUUGUUAUAAGCCUGUCCCUUAAGAAGAGAAUUAUUUUAUAGUAAAAGGCACAAAACAAUAUUUGGGAUCAUAGACAUCUUUUAAAAAAAUAUUUAUUUAUUUAUUUUUAGUUGUAGGUGGACACCUUUAUUUUAUUUUUAUGUAGUGCUGAGGAUCAAACCCAGUGCCUCAUGCAUGCUAGGCAAGCACUCUACCUCUGAGCCUCAACCCCAGCCCAUCGUAGACAUCUUAAUAUUAAUUAUUCCAAUAACUUAACAUGAUCUCAUCUACCAGUUUCUUAGUAAAAUGGAGAAAUAUAACAAUUUACAUCACUAACCUCCAUUGCAGUGAUACUCAGAGGACUCAGUUUCCCCAGUGGAAAUGCCAGCAAUACCAGUUAAACAUGCUUAAUGGCUUUUAUUUUUAAUUGCUGCAUAAAACUAACUUAUUAUAAUACCCAUAUUGAAAAUGAUUAGCAUGGUAAUUUUUUUAAGAGUAUAAGAUCUUUGAUAACAUUUUAAUAGUAAACGGAAAAGAAAAUAACUGUGUGUUUUGCUGGGGAUCAAACUCAGGGCCUCAUACAUGCUAGGCAAGCACUCUACCCAGCCCCCAAAAUAUUUUAUAUUUUUAGGUGUUUUCUGGCCCAUUUGUUUCAGUUUUUUCAAAUUGAAUUUAAAAUGAUCAAAUGCUUAGAAAUAAAAAUCAGUUAUAAGAUUAAUUUAUUUCAAUGCUUCAUUAAUAUAAUAUCUAUGUUUAGACUAACAAUGUUUUUUCAUUAAACAUGUUAUUUUUAAAACAAUUAUUUAUCCAUAUGCUCCAUUAAAACAAUGAAGUUAUAUAUACUUUAUACAGUCUCAUCUUUAUUUAUAUUGUUUAGAUAAUUGAGAUAAUCACACAAUCUUUAACCUCAAAUGUAUUUGAUCAAUCUUUUGUUCAAGUUUUAUUCAGUUCAACUUGUUUAACAAAUUAAUUUUAACUUAUUGUAAUGUACUACCAGUUAUAACAGUAUGCAAAAAAAAAGGCCAUAGCCCCUUUAUCAUCAUCACCAUCAUUGUUAUUUUAGUGGUGCUGAAUAUUGAACCCAGUGCUUUGUGCAUACUGAGCACAUUCUCUACCACUGGACUAUACACUCUUUCCUUUUAUAGCCCUAACUUUUUUUAAAAAAAUUUUUAGUUGUAGAUGGACAAGAUACCUUGAUUUCAUUUCUACUUUUAUGUGGUGCUGAGGAUCGAACCCAGUGCCUCACACUUGCUAAGCAAGUGCUCUACAACUGAGCUACAACCCAGCCCCUAUAUUCCUAAUUUUUAAAAUGCAUAGGCACUUCAUAAAGAGGAAGAGUCUUUGCCAUUGCCUAGCCAUGAGAGAACGUUAUAAGAGAUGACAUUUUUGUCCUAUUAGAUAUCUUCAUUUUUGUCUAUGAAAUUUAAAAGUCAGUGUAGUUGUUGCUUGUAUUAAAUAUACUAUUUCUUAUAGUUACUGAGCCUUCAUCAAUUAACUCUUGAUUAAUGGCAUUUCAGGUCAAGUUGGCUGACCUACUUAUGUGCAUUAAAAUCGAAUUUAGUAUAUAAUAUCAAUAUUUUUUGAUGCUUAAAUUCUCCAAAUAAUAUUUUUAGUCAUCAGUUUAUGAAACAAAGGUCAUUUAGAAAAGCUAGCUGUUACAUUGUAGAUUAUUUUACAAGAUUUUUCUAGAUGGUAUAUACCUUUGUUAAUAUUGUUAAUAAGUUAUAAUAAGCAUUGUUUAGGAGUCAGGAGGUUUAUAAAGUAUAGUUAAUUGUUGAGCAGUGAUUAUGGAGGUUUUUAAGAAUAUAUUCUUCAAAAUUCUAGAUUAUUUCUGAGAUUUUACUGCUUCUAGAGUAACUUAAUUGUAAUACAUAUUGAAGUGACAUUAUUAUGGAAUUUCAUUAUAGAAAAAGGUUCUUUUCACUUUUUAAGUCCUAUUAUAAUAAAUAUUAAUGUAUAUUUUAUAUGUGUAUGUAUAUGUAUACAUAUAUGUAUAUAUACUGCUUUUUCUUUUU